AUGACUAAAUCUCUUCUUAAUUCUCUUGGUGUGAUGAGAGAUGAUAUGGGAGAACUGAUGUGGAUGGUAAGAGAGUUCUACAAGAAUCUCUAUACAUCUGAGGGGGUGCACAAUGUGGACGCGGUGCUACAACAUGUCCCACAAAAGGUCACACCAGUGAUGAAUGAAGUUUUGUGCCUUCCAUAUUCAGCCGAGGAGGUUAAAACCGCUCUGUUUCCGAUGUUUCCUACCAAGUCCCUAGGGCUGGAUGUAUUUCCCGCACAUCUUUGUCAAAGGAAUUGGGCCUUGUGCGGGGAGGAGAUUACUUGGUACUGCGGAUUGUGA
This 324-nucleotide ribosomal RNA is filed under the name Triticum aestivum (bread wheat). Its description in RNAcentral is "partial small subunit ribosomal RNA". The record is from RNAcentral. Lineage: Eukaryota; Viridiplantae; Streptophyta; Magnoliopsida; Poales; Poaceae.